This 387-nucleotide ribosomal RNA is filed under the name uncultured bacterium. RNAcentral describes it as "bacterial SSU rRNA". It matches the Rfam family "Bacterial small subunit ribosomal RNA", at positions 97 to 520 of the family's 1533-position model. The record is from RNAcentral.
GGCGCACGGGUGAUUGUACACGUGGGAACCUGCCCUGUGGUUCGGAAUAACUCCGGGAAACUGGAGCUAACACCGAAUGUCCCCUGCGGGGGAAAGGUCACGCCAUGGGAGGGGCCCGCGUCUGAUUAGGUAGUUGGUGGGGUAACGGCCUACCAAGCCGACGAUCGGUAGCUGGUCUGAGAGGAUGAUCAGCCACACUGGGACUGAGACACGGCCCAGACUCCUACGGGAGGCAGCAGUGGGGAAUAUUGGACAAUGGGCGCAAGCCUGAUCCAGCAAUGCCGCGUGAGUGAUGAAGGCCUUCGGGUUGUAAAGCUCUUUCGUCCGCGACGAUAAUGACGGUAGCGGAAGAAGAAGCCCCGGCUAACUUCGUGCCAGCCGCCGCGG